RNAcentral lists this long non-coding RNA (2853 nucleotides) under Homo sapiens (human). RNAcentral's name for it is "HSALNT0311651". Lineage: Eukaryota; Metazoa; Chordata; Mammalia; Primates; Hominidae. The record is from RNAcentral.
GCCCUUGUCCACUAGAGGCAAACUGCCCGCUGACCCCUUCUUCCAAAUAUGCUCUUUUGUCUCAUGUCUUUUAUUCCCGCUUUCACCCCACUUUGUUCAGUCCCCCUAGGUCCGUGUGGGUUACAUAGUGGCGCCCUGAACAGCGACAGAAUCAGGUGCUCUACAAGUGGCGUCCGAACACAGGGACUAUGAGGAUGUGAAUGAAGAAGAUCUGCUGGAGCAGAGGAAUUGAAAUUGACAAGGUGAAUGGGGAUCCCGGGACAAGUCUGCCGGCAGCAGAUAUAAGGUCAGUGCCCUAAAGAGCUACUGGGAGCAGUGCCUUAAAGUAGUACUGGGAAUGGGAAGUUUUCUGAAUCAGGGUAACAUGGGGCAGAAUUGGUCUGUUGAAGAAAAACAUUAUGUGCAGUUGCUUAAAGUUUUGUUGAAACAAACUGGUGCUCAGGUUAGUUCUCACAUUAACUACGAUGCUACAGGAAGUCAUUAUGCAUAACCCAUGGUUUCCACAGGCAGGGACUCUUGAUGUAGAAAAUUGGGAUAGAGCAGAAGGAUGAAAACAGGCUCAUCAAAAAGGUUUUCAAGUUGAUUCUUCAGUUUUCUCCACUUGGAGUUUAGUUCGUACUGUACUUCUGCCAUUAUCUCCUUGUUAUUCUGCGGGACAGCAGGCUGAAUGUAAAAAACUGAAAGAAUCUGUUGUCCCACCCACAGCUCCAGUUGAAAAUAAGUAAUAGGAGAGGGAGGAUAAAAAUUGGCCUAUACCGCCCCCUCCAGUUGCAGAAACAUCUGUACCGCCUCCUUCGGUGGCAGAAACAGAGACCCCAAUACAAAGAAUUUUACGCUCUGCCACCACGGCUGGAGAGCCCUUAGGACCUUGCACUUUUCCUAUUUCCGUAAGGCCUGAUCCAAAUAAUCCACAGCAGCUUAAUCAUGAACACAUUCCACUAGAGUUUAAGUUGUUAAAGGAAUUAAAAGUGAGUGUGGUAAAUAAUGGCAUACAGAGCCCAUUCACUUUAGGAUUGCUAGAAUCUAUGUUUGGUGCUAUGUGUCUUUUACCCUUUGAUGUGAAACACUUGGCAUGAACUUGCUUGUCUGCUAGCGCAUAUCUGACAUGGAAUUUAAACUGGCAAGAACAGGGUGCAGACCAGGCUAGACAGAACCAUGCUGCUGGAAAUGGAGACAUUACAGAGGAUAGGCUAUUGGGUAAUGGCCCUUAUUCUGACCUGGUACAUCAACUAGCACUCACAAAUGCUGCUUAUCAGCAGUGCACACAGGCUGCUAAAUGUGCCUGGGCCAUAAUUCCUGAAGAGGGAGUCCCAGUACUAUCAUUUUUACAUAUCAUGCAAGGGUCACAGGAACCCUACGCACAAUUUCUUGCAAGAUUACAAGAGGCAGUGAGGCAUCAGAUUCCUCAUACCUUGGCUGCAGAAAUGCUAACCUUUACUCUAGCUUUUGAGAAUGCAAAUGCAGAUUGUAAAUGUGCACUGGCACCGGUUAGGUGUACAAAAACUUGGGAAAUUUUCUCAGAGCUUGUUAAGAUGUAGCAACUGAGCUUUAUCGAUCUGCAAUGUUAGCUGAAGCAAUGGCUAAUUUAGCUGUUGACAAAUCUAAAAAGAGCCAAGGGUCAAACCCUAAAAUGGGAAAAUGUUAUAAUUGUGGAAAAACUGGACAUUUUAAAAAGGAAUGCCACCAGAUCUCAGGACAGAAAGGAUCUUACAAUGCUUUUCCCCCCGGCCCCCAGCGGAAAGAACACCAGGACUUUGUCCUCGCUAUGACAAAGGAAAUAACUCGGCUAAUCAGUGCUGCUCAAAAUUUCAUCAGAAUGGCACCCCCCUGUUGGGAAAUGAGAUGGGGGCCUGUACCCGGGCCUCACAAACAAUGAGGGCAUUCCCAAUUCAGACCUCAACCCUGUUUCAGGCAUGGGUUCCCAGAGGCAUAUUGAGUCCCUCACCCGAGGAACUCCAGGAAGUGCAGGAUUAGAUCUCCCAGCCAGAGAAAGGGUUACAUAAGGUGGGGAAGACAAACCCACCAAGAUUCUCACUGGCAUUUGGGGACCUUUACCAGCAGGAUAUAUGGGACUAAUUUUAGGCAAAAGCCACCUUAACUUGCGAAGGCAUUACUGUAGUCGCAGAAGUUGUUGACUCUGAUUAUGAAGGAGAAAUUCAAGUAGUUUUAUUGUCACGAGAUCUUCGGGUUUUUGAACCGAGAGAAUACAUAGUGCAAUUAUUACUUAUUCCCUGCAAAUUACACCCUUCUCCAUGAAAGGAGAAACAAGGAAAUAAAGGGUUUGGGAGCACAGCUACACGGGAAAUCUAUCUAUCCCGACCCAUAGCCUCUAAUAGACCCACCUGUGUAGUACAAAUUAAAGGAAAUAAAUUUUAUAGGUUUAUGGAUACGGGAGCUGAUGUGUCAGUGUUACCAGCAGGUCUUUGUUCUUAGAGCUCCCAAGAUGGCGGCAAGCCUUUUGUUCUCUGACCUGGAGUUCUUGGCCUCACAGAUUCCAAGGAAUGGAUCCUUGGGCCAUGCAGUGAGUGUCAUAGCUCUAUUAGAAGCUCUUCCAAAAGUCGUGCUGCUAUCUAUGGACUAAAACAUACUCAAACAAUAAUGACCUCUGGCGUUUAGGCUCAAUGCUCAGAGCUAAUUGCAGUCAUUCAGGUUUUACAGCUCACAGCUUCAGAUCCUAUCAACAUUGUCUGUGUUCAGUUUAUGUCGUAAAUGUAGCCGGUCACAUAGAAACUGCUACAAUUAAAAGUACACUAAACCCAGAACUGCUAAUUUAUUUUUAAGACUUCAACAAGUUAUUUGUUCUAGUGCAGCUCCUUUUCAUAUUUCUCAUAUUCCUUCUCACACACAACUUCC